UACGUAGGGAGCGAGCGUUGUCCGGAUUUACUGGGUGUAAAGGGUGCGUAGGCGGCUUUGCAAGUCAGCUGUGAAAUCUAUGGGCUCAACCCAUAAAUUGCAGUUGAAACUGUAGAGCUUGAGUGAAGUAGAGGUAGGCGGAAUUCCCAGUGUAGCGGUGAAAUGCGUAGAGAUUGGGAGGAACACCAGUGGCGAAGGCGGCCUACUGGGCUUUAACUGACGCUGAGGCACGAAAGCGUGGGUAG
This 245-nucleotide ribosomal RNA is filed under the name uncultured Oscillospiraceae bacterium. RNAcentral's name for it is "partial 16S ribosomal RNA". It matches the Rfam family "Bacterial small subunit ribosomal RNA", at positions 524 to 768 of the family's 1533-position model. Lineage: Bacteria; Bacillati; Bacillota; Clostridia; Eubacteriales; Oscillospiraceae. The record is from RNAcentral.